Molecule: ribosomal RNA, 958 nt
Filed under: Microbacterium paraoxydans
Lineage: Bacteria; Bacillati; Actinomycetota; Actinomycetes; Micrococcales; Microbacteriaceae
Description: bacterial SSU rRNA
Rfam family: Bacterial small subunit ribosomal RNA
Source: RNAcentral
AGAGCUUGCUCUGUGGAUCAGUGGCGAACGGGUGAGUAACACGUGAGCAACCUGCCCCUGACUCUGGGAUAAGCGCUGGAAACGGCGUCUAAUACUGGAUAUGAGCUGCGAUCGCAUGGUCAGCAGUUGGAAAGAUUUUUCGGUCUGGGAUGGGCUCACGGCCUAUCAGCUUGUUGGUGAGGUAAUGGCUCACCAAGGCGUCGACGGGUAGCCGGCCUGAGAGGGUGACCGGCCACACUGGGACUGAGACACGGCCCAGACUCCUACGGGAGGCAGCAGUGGGGAAUAUUGCACAAUGGGCGAAAGCCUGAUGCAGCAACGCCGCGUGAGGGAUGACGGCCUUCGGGUUGUAAACCUCUUUUAGCAGGGAAGAAGCGAAAGUGACGGUACCUGCAGAAAAAGCGCCGGCUAACUACGUGCCAGCAGCCGCGGUAAUACGUAGGGCGCAAGCGUUAUCCGGAAUUAUUGGGCGUAAAGAGCUCGUAGGCGGUUUGUCGCGUCUGCUGUGAAAUCCCGAGGCUCAACCUCGGGUCUGCAGUGGGUACGGGCAGACUAGAGUGCGGUAGGGGAGAUUGGAAUUCCUGGUGUAGCGGUGGAAUGCGCAGAUAUCAGGAGGAACACCGAUGGCGAAGGCAGAUCUCUGGGCCGUUACUGACGCUGAGGAGCGAAAGGGUGGGGAGCAAACAGGCUUAGAUACCCUGGUAGUCCACCCCGUAAACGUUGGGAACUAGUUGUGGGGUCCAUUCCACGGAUUCCGUGACGCAGCUAACGCAUUAAGUUCCCCGCCUGGGGAGUACGGCCGCAAGGCUAAAACUCAAAGGAAUUGACGGGGACCCGCACAAGCGGCGGAGCAUGCGGAUUAAUUCGAUGCAACGCGAAGAACCUUACCAAGGCUUGACAUAUACGAGACGGGCCAGAAAUGGUCAACUCUUUGGACACUCGUAAACAGGUGGUGCAU